Molecule: long non-coding RNA, 2961 nt
Organism: Orussus abietinus
Lineage: Eukaryota; Metazoa; Arthropoda; Insecta; Hymenoptera; Orussidae
Exons: 3
Source: RefSeq, a predicted model, not a curated record
AAUCGAGGAGUCAGCUUUCUCGACUCUGGCGGUAGUUAAAGGCUCCUUGGGAAGUUCUUUUUUGGCCCUCGUGAGUCCCUGGACCUCGCCUUCCCUCGGGACCUUUGAGAGUUUCGAGACGCGUCCUGAAGACGUCUGUCGGCGCGGCCUGCGCGGAACGGCGCGCGAUCUUUCGUCAUUUUUAAAUUUAAGUCAACGCUAGAGAGGUGGAUCGCAGUCGGGUGCAUUGAAUCAAUACGUAAAGGGUUAAACAGGGUCAAUUUGGAAUAACUCCGAUAACGGGCUGCACUCGGCGUUGCGAGUUCGAGUCCGAGAUGCGCUCCCUGGAGCGAGAUGCGCUCGCACGUUUUCUUCUAAUUAUUCCCAUAAAAAUUAAAUUUAUAGUAUACACGAAUUUUCUUACAUUUUUUAAAUUACUUCAUAAAUGAUCAAUUCGAGUUUCUACGCGAUUUUGAGAUAUAGAUUAGAAAAGGUAUGGAUUUUUUUGGGACGUUUGCUUUGAGGAACUUUAGCUGAGACAUUUGGAUCGAUCGUUAGCCAAGUGAAAAUUUAAUGAAAAUCCAGAGUCGUUCGUUCCACGGUUCCGAUCGCAAGGACGUAAUCCAUAUGUGUACUUAGAGUAUACAUAUGCAUGCCGCGCUGUUAAACUCGUUACACAAUUGGGCAUGUAACGAGGAAAGGAAAAUAAUGAUCUUCGGCCAAUAAGAAGCGACCGCGCACCACCUAGCUCCAAAAUCAUUAGCGCAAUUGGACUUAAAUCUCCUGUGCUCCUUAUGCACUCCAUUGUGUAACCCACGUUGUACGUAUACCACAAGGGGAUGCCGUACGUGAAGCAUAUGCGUGUACACGUGAACUACGACGGUAAUGGACGCAAUUUAGUCAUCGAAGCUGCGAUCAACAGCUGCGAGCGGAUAGCGAACCUUGAAGAGGGCAUCGUCAUGGAUGGAAAACUUGAGCCAUGGACGUUCUUCGGGGUCGGUCCUUAAAACCUUCAACCAGGAUUAAGAACACCAUCUUAAGAUCUUCAGACCGUGGAAGAUCAUCGAAAAAAGGGAUCUAACAAUGGACAAAGAAGACUGCACUAAGCUUAUUUGAAUUUAUCGCUCAUCGAUAAGCGAACCGAUAUCGUACAAAAAGAUAAUGAGGAGUAAUACUACAAAUUAAAUUAUGUAAAUCGGGAAAUAAUUUCCAUAUUGAGAAAAACCAUAAUUUCAACAGAGCGAAAUAAAAUGCCGCAAGGAAGAUAUACCUACAUAGGUAAUUGAAGUUAAUUAAAAAAUUCUGGGUUUCUAUUAUGGCGAGCAAUAAUAAAUACGUGGAAUAUUAAAUAUUCUGUCGACGGGAUUUAUAAAUUCAUGAAUUUUCUCAUUAGAAAUUCAAGCUCUGGGAUUUAGAGGGGAGUGUUCAUUUCCCGAAUUUUUAGACUGAAGUUUUGCAAUACAAGUUAUUAAUAACAAUGCAGGAUUGAUUUUUAAAUGCGCGGAAGAGCCGUAGUAGGUGCCGGACGAGGUGUGCAAGGUUUCGGUGAAAAAAAAAAAAACCUUUUCGACCGUGACAGGACUCGAACCUGCAAUCUUCGGAUCCGAAGUCCGACGCCUUAUCCGUUAGGCCACACGGUCGGUUGAGGGUAGUUUUCUAUGGCUCGCAUUUCACGUCCAUUCCGCUGGAACCCUUAUUGAUUCUCCUCGCUAUGGACCAAUGGCGUCGCAGCAUCCGACUCUGUCCACCAAUCGCGUUUCUGGAAGCUUACGUGGUCGAUUCGACGCUUUAUCUCGCAAAAAUGCACGCCUCGCUGUCAACACUGCCACAUUAAAUUCCCAUACUACCAUAAGUUCUUCUAACUCUCUUGAGAAUAAUUUUCCAAGAGAUACGUGCUUUCAAAUUUUCCGCCCAAGAUGGAGCCCGCGCAUGCGCGACAACAGUUCGAACCGUCGUGGUUCAAAUCAAACCACCGGCAGAAAAUGGUGAGAAAUUUAUGACAUUCUUCUUGAGAAUAUUAGAAAAGGACGUUUAAUAAGAAACCGUUAACACUGGUCGAGUUGUUAGAGUUUAAGAGCUUGUUUAUUUUGGAUGGAUCGAUCGCGUUGGUCGAUCAUUCGACUAUUAUCGAAACGAUCGAUGACCUUCUUAUCGCGAGGACGAGUCGUUAGUCGUCAGGGUUAAUGUCGAGUGCCGGUCGAAACGAGCCCGCUCUCUUUCCCACCAACCGAUCCAGAUAUCCGCUUCCAUUGUCGCGUAAUAACAGUCCCUGAAAGCUCAACGACAUAAUGGUAAUUGGUAGGAAGGCGUGCGACGUUUUGAGGCUGUUCCAGAAAACCAACGACGACAUUAAUGGAUCUCGACGGACAUCCUGCACUAAAUACGCGCUAACUGGCCGGCAUCAUGCUCCAAUUUACGCGCGAUGCCUUUAAUAUUCAGGAAAAUUUCCGUUUUCUCAGGAUUAACCGUUUAAUCGAGGAUCGUCCGGGGACACGUGGAAAUCUGCGGUACAGGGAAAGUAUGGCCGGCAUUCGGCCUCGUAUGCAAAGCAGCCGCGAUACAAGUCUCGGCAGAAUUAUCCGUGAUUGUGCGAGGUCAAUUACCAGGCAUUAAUCGCCCGCCGAGUAAUUCUGGAAUCGGGUUGAACGAUCGACAAACGAUCGGCGUGCCCACGCGCUGAUUUACCGAGGUCGACAAUCGGCACCCGAGGGUGUCCCAUUUUCGAAGAGGCUUUGCCCCUGGCAGGAGAGGACGACCUUCGAUAUCAUUUCCACGUUUUCAAAGGAGGACUGCUUCGGAGGAAUCUCGUACGGAACAUUCGGAAACGAGGAACGUCUGGAAGAUACGGCGGUCUCGGGGGGUUCCGAAGCGACCCAUUUUGCUCGAGUCUGCGGAAGUGCACUCGCAAGAGAUCCAUCGUGCUCCAAGUGGGAAUAAGGCCGAGCUGCUUGGUCCAACAAUGGCGAAGUCGACGCCGAGAGU